GGGCUUCACAGUCUUGCAAUCGGAAUGAGUAGAUUUUAAAUCUCUCUACGAGUAACAAUUGGAGGGCAAGUCUGGUGCCAGCAGCCGCGGUAAUUCCAGCUCCAAUAGCGUAUAUUAAAGUUGUUGCGGUUAAAAAGCUUGUAGUUGAAUUUCUGCCAAGGACGACCUACCCACCUUAGGGUGCGCGUAAGUGUUGACCGAGGCAUCCUCCUAGCAGCGACCGAGCUUAACUGUUCGGCUCGUUCUAGGACUUUUACUUUGAGGAAAUUAGAAUGUUUCAAGCAGGCGUUUGCCCUGAAUAUAUUAGCAUGGAAUAAUAAUUUAGGACUUCGGUUCUACUUUGUUGGUUUCUAGAACUGAAGUAAUGAUUAAUAGGGACAGUCGGGGGCGUUUGUACUCAACCGUCAGAGGUGAAAUUC
RNAcentral lists this ribosomal RNA (419 nucleotides) under uncultured Perkinsea. Its description in RNAcentral is "SSU rRNA". It matches the Rfam family "Eukaryotic small subunit ribosomal RNA", at positions 488 to 919 of the family's 1831-position model. Lineage: Eukaryota; Perkinsozoa. The record is from RNAcentral.